Molecule: unclassified non-coding RNA, 336 nt
Filed under: soil metagenome
Description: partial contains 5.8S ribosomal RNA, internal transcribed spacer 2, and large subunit ribosomal RNA
Rfam family: 5.8S ribosomal RNA (bases 1-120)
Source: RNAcentral
GAUGAAGAACGUAGCGAAAUGCGAUACGUAAUGUGAAUUGCAGAAUUCAGUGAAUCAUCGAAUCUUUGAACGCACAUUGCGCCCGCCAGUAUUCUGGCAGGCAUGCCUGUUCGAGCGUCAUUUCAACCAUCAAGCCCCCGGCUUGUGUUGGGGACCUGCGGCUGCCGCAGGCCCUGAAAAGCAGUGGCGGGCUCGCUGUCACACCGAGCGUAGUAGCAUACAUCUCGCUCUGGGCGUGCUGCGGGUUCCGGCCGUUAAACCACCUUCAUAACCCAAGGUUGACCUCGGAUCAGGUAGGAAGACCCGCUGAACUUAAGCAUAUCAAUAAGCGGAGGA